CGACGUGAGUAACCUGCCUCUAAGAGGGGAAUAACAUUCUGAAAAGAAUGCUAAUACCGCAUAACAUAUAUUUAUCGCAUGGUAGAUAUAUCAAAGAUUUAUCGCUUAGAGAUGGACUCGCGUCCGAUUAGUUAGUUGGUGAGGUAACGGCUCACCAAAACUGCGAUCGGUAGCCGGACUGAGAGGUUGAACGGCCACAUUGGGACUGAGACACGGCCCAG
RNAcentral lists this ribosomal RNA (221 nucleotides) under uncultured bacterium. RNAcentral describes it as "partial 16S ribosomal RNA". It matches the Rfam family "Bacterial small subunit ribosomal RNA", at positions 113 to 334 of the family's 1533-position model. The record is from RNAcentral.